Molecule: ribosomal RNA, 503 nt
Filed under: uncultured bacterium
Lineage: Bacteria
Description: partial 16S ribosomal RNA
Rfam family: Bacterial small subunit ribosomal RNA
Source: RNAcentral
AUUGAACGCUGGCGGCAGGCUUAACACAUGCAAGUCGAGCGGGGUGAUGGUGCUUGCACUAUCACUUAGCGGCGGACGGGUGAGUAAUGCUUAGGAAUCUGCCUAUUAGUGGGGGACAACAUCUCGAAAGGGAUGCUAACACCGCAUACGUCCUACGGGAGAAAGCAGGGGAUCACUUGUGACCUUGCGCUAAUAGCUGAGCCUAAGUCGGAUUAGCUAGUUGGUGGGGUAAAGGCCUACCAAGGCGACGAUCUGUAGCGGGUCUGAGAGGAUGAUCCGCCACACUGGGAUUGAGACACGGCCCAGACUCCUACGGGAGGCAGCAGUGGGGAAUAUUGGACAAUGGGGGGAACCCUGAUCCAGCCAUGCCGCGUGUGUGAAGAAGGCCUUAUGGUUGUAAAGCACUUUAAGCGAGGAGGAGGCUCCUUUGGUUAAUACCCAAGAUGAGUGGACGUUACUCGCAGAAUAAGCACCGGCUAACUCUGUGCCAGCCGCCGCCGUAA